UACAGAGGGGGCAAGCGUUGUUCGGAAUUACUGGGGCGUAAAGGGCGCGUAGGCGGCCUGUUAAGUCGAACGUGAAAUCCCCGGGCUCAACCCGGGAACUGCGUCCGAUACUGGCAGGCUUGAAUUCGGGAGAGGGAUGCGGAAUUCCAGGUGUAGCGGUGAAAUGCGUAGAUAUCUGGAGGAACACCGGUGGCGAAGGCGGCAUCCUGGACCGAGAUUGACGCUGAGGCGCGGAAAGCCAGGGGAGCAAACGGGG
RNAcentral lists this ribosomal RNA (256 nucleotides) under uncultured bacterium. RNAcentral describes it as "partial 16S ribosomal RNA". It matches the Rfam family "Bacterial small subunit ribosomal RNA", at positions 524 to 777 of the family's 1533-position model. The record is from RNAcentral.